Molecule: long non-coding RNA, 955 nt
Organism: Corapipo altera (White-ruffed manakin)
Lineage: Eukaryota; Metazoa; Chordata; Aves; Passeriformes; Pipridae
Exons: 3
Source: RefSeq, a predicted model, not a curated record
AGAUUCUUAUUUGUUUGCUUUUAUGUUUCUACAACUGUCUCCUUUUUUUUGCGCACCAUUUUCAGGCAGGGAUAAUUUUGUUAGGGAUAACGGGCUCUGAGCAAAACUUUCUGUUCUGCAUUUGGCUUGUCUCCACAGGGAUUAGGUGGAGGUGAAUGAUGAAAAAAAGAUACAAAGUCUGCCUCUGAAAAGCCCCUUCUUGACCAUUUCAUCUCAGCCCUCACAGUUUUGCCACCUUCACAUCUGUGUGCAGCAGCCCAGCACAACAUGCAGAACGAUGUCAUUUAUAACAUACUGAUAUAACUGGAAGCAAAACAGGGUUUCCCUUCUGCUGAAUCAUCACCUCCUGUCAUGGAAAACUCCCUGAGCCAAAUUCUGACUUCUAAAGAGAAAGCUAGAUAUGGCUUGGGGGGAAGGAAGAAGGGUAGUCUGGUAAUUAUGUGACAGAAGGGAAAAAAUUAGCAAGUCUGGGUCCUUUUCAUCACCUAUUCACACCUGUUUAUGCAAAACAGAUAAAUAAUACUUAUCGUUGCUGCUAAUCUGUUCAAAUACUCUGGGAGUACAUCGCAACAUCUUAGUGAAGAGUCCUUUGUUUUUCAUAGGUAUCGAAGUUGAAGGUAGAAAGCAGAGCCCAAAUGUGCACAACAGCCUUGGUCAGCAGAGUUUCAGGUUUCAGAGAAUUCCCUCUCUUCAAGGGAAGCACCAUCUCGUAAGUACAGACCCGUUGAGCAGGACUCGGCCUCUUGAGGAGCUAUCCCUCGCUGGAAAGGGUGGUCGUUCAGGCAGGUCUGGCAGAGUGGAGGCUCAAGCUCUGAAUCUGCUGGAGCCCCCUGGUUAGGACUCAUUGUACUACAGCAGGAUGGACACUGGUUAUGAACCUAAUACACUGUGUUCACAGGACACUGUGUCAACCUUGUACGCUUUGCUCUUCCUUUUGCUUCUGUGACUGUUUCUU